Oreochromis aureus is the source of this 1219-nucleotide long non-coding RNA. The record is from Ensembl. Lineage: Eukaryota; Metazoa; Chordata; Actinopteri; Cichliformes; Cichlidae.
GUCCGUUUCUUUCUCGAGCAUUUCUUGUUGCUCUCUCUCUUGAAUGAACUCCUUAUUUCUGUGCACUUUUUUAUCGAGCUUGAUUUGGAGCAGUCUGUGUUUUUCCUCCAUCUCAUCAAGCUUGGAGUCCAUUUCCUUCUGCUUCAUUUCCAUUUGCUUCUUGUCUUGAAGCAACUGUCGAUUUUUGUGCAGAGUUUUAUCAUGUUUCACCUGCAGAGCUUUGCAUUUUUCCUCCAUGGCUUGGAGUUUGCUCUGCAGGUCUCUCUGCUCUACGGGCUCUUGUUUCUUGUCUUGGAGAAUCUCUUUAUUUCUCUCCAGAGUUUCAUCAAGCAUAACUUGCAAGCCUUCAUUUUGUUUCUCGAUGUUCCUCAGCUUGCACUCCAUUUCUUCCUGAUGUAUUUUCUGUUGGUCUUUGUCGUGAAGCAACUCUUUAUUUCUUUCCAGAGCUUCAUCAAGCAUUACUUGCAAGCCUCUAUUUUGUUUCUCGAUGUGCCUCAGCUUGCAAUCCAUUUCUUGCUGAUGUAUUUUCCGUUGGUCUUUCUCGUGAAGGAACUCUUUAUUCCUUUCCAGAGCUUCAUCAAGCAUUACUUGCAAGCCUCUAUUUUGUUUCUCGAUGUGCCUCAGCUUGCAAUCCAUUUCUUGCUGAUGUAUUUUCCGUUGGUCUUUCUCGUGAAGGAACUCUUUAUUCCUUUCCAGAGUUUCAUCAAGCAUUACUUGCAAGCCUCUAUUUUGUUUCUCGAUGUUCCUCAGCUUGCAAUCCAUUUCUUCCUUUUGUAUUUUUGUUGGUCAUUCUCGUGAAGCAUCUCUGUAUUUUUGAGCAGUGUUUCCUCAAGAGUUAUUUGGAGCAUUUUCAGUUUUUCUUCCAAGACUUCAAGCUUGGAGUCCGUUUCUUUCUCGAGGAUUUCUUGUUGCUCUCUCUCUUCAAUGAACUCUUUAUUUCUGUGCACUGUUUUCUCAAGCUUGAUUUGGAGCAGUCUGUGUUUUUCCUCCAUCUCGUCAUGCUUGGAGUCCAUUUCCUUCUGUUUCAUUUCCAUUUGCUUCUUGUCUUGAAGCAACUGUUGAUUUUUGUGCAGAGUUUUGUCAUGCUUUACCUGCAGCGCUUUGUAUUUUUCCUCCAUGGCUUGGAGUUUGCGCUGCAUGUCUCUCUGCUCGGCCUGUUGUUUCUCUUCUUGGUGGAUUUCUUUAAGUUUCUCCAGAGCUUCAUCAAGCUCUUCUUGGA